Molecule: small RNA, 97 nt
Filed under: Sinorhizobium meliloti 2011
Lineage: Bacteria; Pseudomonadati; Pseudomonadota; Alphaproteobacteria; Hyphomicrobiales; Rhizobiaceae
Description: putative ncRNA
Source: RNAcentral
UUUCAUUGCGUAUCCUCCCUUUGGAUGUGCAUUGCGGGUCGCAAGACCCAAGUCUCGGCUGGCGGGCUCCGACCAAAGAUCACGCCAGCCGAGAUAU